Molecule: ribosomal RNA, 364 nt
Filed under: uncultured Thermus sp.
Lineage: Bacteria; Thermotogati; Deinococcota; Deinococci; Thermales; Thermaceae
Description: bacterial SSU rRNA
Rfam family: Bacterial small subunit ribosomal RNA
Source: RNAcentral
CAGGGGAGCCCUAGCACAGGUGCUGCAUGGCCGUCGUCAGCUCGUGCCGUGAGGUGUUCGGGUUAAGUCCCGCAACGAGCGCAACCCCCGCCGUUAGUUGCCAGCGGUUCGGCCGGGCACUCUAACGGGACUGCCCGCGAAAGCGGGAGGAAGGAGGGGACGACGUCUGGUCAGCAUGGCCCUUACGGCCUGGGCGACACACGUGCUACAAUGCCCACUACAAAGCGAUGCCACCCGGCAACGGGGAGCUAAUCGCAAAAAGGUGGGCCCAGUUCGGAUUGGGGUCUGCAACCCGACCCCAUGAAGCCGGAAUCGCUAGUAAUCGCGGAUCAGCCAUGCCGCGGUGAAUACGUUCCCGGGCCUU